UCGACCGCCUGGGGAGUACGGCCGCAAGGUUAAAACUCAAAUGAAUUGACGGGGGCCCGCACAAGCGGUGGAGCAUGUGGUUUAAUUCGAUGCAACGCGAAGAACCUUACCUGGUCUUGACAUCCACAGAACUUUCCAGAGAUGGAUUGGUGCCUUCGGGAACUGUGAGACAGGUGCUGCAUGGCUGUCGUCAGCUCGUGUUGUGAAAUGUUGGGUUAAGUCCCGCAACGAGCGCAACCCUUAUCCUUUGUUGCCAGCGGUCCGGCCGGGAACUCAAAGGAGACUGCCAGUGAUAAACUGGAGGAAGGUGGGGAUGACGUCAAGUCAUCAUGGCCCUUACGACCAGGGCUACACACGUGCUACAAUGGCGCAUACAAAGAGAAGCGACCUCGCGAGAGCAAGCGGACCUCAUAAAGUGCGUCGUAGUCCGGAUUGGAGUCUGCAACUCGACUCCAUGAAGUCGGAAUCGCUAGUAAUCGUGGAUCAGAAUGCCACGGUGAAUACGUUCCCGGGCCUUGUACACACCGCCCGUCACACCAUGGGAGUGGGUUGCAAAAGAAGUAGGUAGCUUAACCUUAGGGAGGGCGCUUACCACUUUGUGAUUCAUGACUGGGGUGAAGUCGUAACAAGGUAACCGUAGGGGAACCUGCGGUUGGAUCACCUCCUUACCUUAAAGAAGC
RNAcentral lists this ribosomal RNA (680 nucleotides) under Escherichia coli. Its description in RNAcentral is "bacterial SSU rRNA". It matches the Rfam family "Bacterial small subunit ribosomal RNA", at positions 865 to 1533 of the family's 1533-position model. The record is from RNAcentral. Lineage: Bacteria; Pseudomonadati; Pseudomonadota; Gammaproteobacteria; Enterobacterales; Enterobacteriaceae.